UUUGGUUGAUGCAUUUGGUUUCUGUUGUGAUUUAAGGCGUUUCGAGCAUUGCUUGCAUUUAACAUAAUGAUGCUAUACUGUGAUAGGGAUACACACAUAAGUUUGAGAUUGCAGAGACAUGUUUUGGAGAGAUGGGAAGCCAUUUAGGAUAAUUGGAGGAGACUUGCAUUAUUUCCGAGUGCAUCCUAAGUUGUGAGUGUUGGUGCAGCUCUCUUCUUGUUACAGCAGCUUGCUGGGAUCAAUGCAGUUGUUUACUACUCUUGAUGCUCUAUAUAGUGAUUCUUUGUUGGCUCUUUGUAUGAUUUUGUGGCAGGUUUGUGGUGGAUUAAAUGAGUCGUACGUUGAGCUGAAGAGGCUUGUGAAUUCCCAAGAAAAGUUGUACCAUAUGGCUAGCUAGUUGCAUAUUUAAUAUGUUUAGUAUUUUUGUAAGGCAUAAUAGUAUAGAUAGAGCAGUUGUUGAAUUUUGACUAUAUUCAAAUCUUGUAUGAAUUCUUUUUUAUGAUAAUAAUAUAAAAUUAAAUA
This is a long non-coding RNA of Salvia miltiorrhiza (redroot sage), 522 nucleotides long. RefSeq lists it as uncharacterized. The record is from RefSeq and is a predicted model, not a curated record. NCBI's taxonomy places the organism in Eukaryota, Viridiplantae, Streptophyta, Magnoliopsida, Lamiales, Lamiaceae. The transcript is spliced from 2 exons.